RNAcentral lists this transfer RNA (94 nucleotides) under Magnetococcales bacterium. Its description in RNAcentral is "tRNA-Ser". It matches the Rfam family "tRNA". From Rfam's summary of the family: Transfer RNA (tRNA) molecules are approximately 80 nucleotides in length. Their secondary structure includes four short double-helical elements and three loops (D, anti-codon, and T loops). Lineage: Bacteria; Pseudomonadati; Pseudomonadota; Magnetococcia; Magnetococcales. The record is from RNAcentral.
GGAGAGAUGGCCGAGCUGGCUGAAGGCGGCAUCCUGCUAAGAUGUUGUACUCUGUUGAAGGGUACCGAGGGUUCGAAUCCCUCUCUCUCCGCCA